GAAAAUGUACAUCUCUGUGUCUCUCCUCUUCCUCUUCACUGGCUUAACCUCUGCCAAAAAGGAAGGAGAUUUCGGUUUUUUCACUGCUUGCACCAAGAACAACAGCCUCAGGUUGGAGUGCUAUUAUGCAAACUGUACAAACUCUCCGCCCUACGACUGUGAAUUCUCGACACCACACGAGACGCUGCUACUUAAUGAAUCCAAUGAGAAGUGCAAACUCGUUAUCCCAGACCACCGUCUGAAGUACCGCAACGUGAAAACAAACUACACGUGCACACUGACGAGAAAGGAGAGGAAGGAGGUGAGGGAAAUCUCAAUUGACUACAAUGUACGAAAAGGAAGAGGUCAUAUCAAGGCCUGCCCCGGUACCUCAGGUUUACUGCUGCACCAGACUCCAGCCUCCCUGUGGCCUGUGGUGGCUCUGUCUCUGUGGAGAGUCCUGGUUGCAGGAGGCAGCCAGCCGACAUGAGCCAUUCUGCUGAACGGAUCGUCUGUGGAGGCUUUGACCAACAGAAAUCUAUUUAUACAGUUUUAAAUGUUAUCAGAUUGUUAUACACCUUUUGUUUUGCCUUACAGCCUGAUCUUCACUCAUACAGUAACAUAUCAAGUUCUGAAAGGAAAGGAUUGUCAUUUAUGUACACACAGAUUAAAAGUGUUGAAUCACA
This is a long non-coding RNA of Stegastes partitus (bicolor damselfish), 665 nucleotides long. RefSeq lists it as uncharacterized. The transcript has 4 exons. The record is from RefSeq and is a predicted model, not a curated record. Lineage: Eukaryota; Metazoa; Chordata; Actinopteri; Pomacentridae.